Molecule: ribosomal RNA, 253 nt
Filed under: uncultured bacterium
Lineage: Bacteria
Description: partial 16S ribosomal RNA
Rfam family: Bacterial small subunit ribosomal RNA
Source: RNAcentral
UACAGAGAGAAGCCAGGUGGCGGACACCGAGCGGAACUCAAAGCCUGUCUCAGUUCGGAUCGGAGUCUGCAACCCGACUCCGUGAAGCUGGAUUCGCUAGUAAUCGCGCAUCAGCCAUGGCGCGGUGAAUACGUUCCCGGGCCUUGUACACACCGCCCGUCAAGCCAUGGAAGCCGGGAGUGCCUGAAGUAUGCAACCGCAAGGAGCGUCCUAAGGUAAAACCGGUGACUGGGCUAAGUCGUAACAAGGUAUC